Molecule: small RNA, 682 nt
Filed under: Pongo abelii (Sumatran orangutan)
Lineage: Eukaryota; Metazoa; Chordata; Mammalia; Primates; Hominidae
Description: processed transcript
Source: RNAcentral
CUUCACUAUGGCGACGGUGGGGGCUCCGCGGCGCUUCUGCCGCUGCGCCUGCUUUUGCACCGAGAACUUGUACGUGGCGCGCUAUGGGCUGCACGUGCGCUUCCGAGGCGAGCAGCAGCUGCGCCGGGACUACGGCCCGAUCCUGCGCAGCCGAGGCUGUGUUAGCGCCAAGGACUUCCAGCAGCUGUUAGCAGAGGAUGCAGCUCUGGCCCCCGAGUUUCUGGCCGUGGCUGAGUACAGCGUGUCCCCGGGCGCAGACCUCAAGGGCCUUCUCCAGCGGCUGGAGACAGUAUCGGAGGAGAAGCGCAUCUACCGGGUGCCUGUGUUCACAGCACCCUUCUGCCAGGCCUUGCUGGAAGAGCUGGAGCACUUCGAGCAGUCGGACAUGCCUAAGGGGAGGCCCAACACCAUGAACAACUAUGGGGUGCUGCUGCACGAGCUUGGGCUGGACGAGCCGCUGAUGACACCACUGCGGGAGCGCUUCCUGCAGCCACUGAUGGCCCUGCUGUACCCUGACUGUGGCGGGGGCCGGCUCGACAGCCACCGGGCCUUUGUGGUCAAAUACGCACCGGGCCAGGACCUCGAGCUGGGCUGCCACUAUGAUAAUGCCGAGCUCACACUCAAUGUGGCCUUGGGCAAGGUCUUCACGGGGGGCGCCCUGUAUUUUGGGGGCCUCUUCCAG